RNAcentral lists this ribosomal RNA (303 nucleotides) under uncultured bacterium. RNAcentral's name for it is "partial 16S ribosomal RNA". It matches the Rfam family "Bacterial small subunit ribosomal RNA", at positions 507 to 807 of the family's 1533-position model. The record is from RNAcentral.
AGCAGUCGCCGCGGUAAUACGAAGGGUGCAAGCGUUACUCGGAAUUACUGGGCGUAAAGCGUGCGUAGGUGGUGGUUUAAGUCCGUUGUGAAAGCCCUGGGCUCAACCUGGGAAUUGCAGUGGAUACUGGGUCACUAGAGUGUGGUAGAGGAUAGUGGAAUUUCCGGUGUAGCAGUGAAAUGCGUAGAGAUCGGAAGGAACAUCUGUGGCGAAGGCGACUAUCUGGGCCAACACUGACACUGAGGCACGAAAGCGUGGGGAGCAAACAGGAUUAGAUACCCCAGUAGUCCCUGUCUCUUAUAC